Molecule: ribosomal RNA, 442 nt
Filed under: uncultured bacterium
Lineage: Bacteria
Description: partial 16S ribosomal RNA
Rfam family: Bacterial small subunit ribosomal RNA
Source: RNAcentral
CCUACGGGUGGCAGCAGUAGGGAAUCUUUCACAAUGGGCGAAAGCCUGAUGGAGCAACGCCGCGUGCAUGAUGAAGGCCUUCGGGUUGUAAACCGCUUUUAUAAGCGAGAAAUAUGAUGGUAACUUAUGAAUAAGGAUCGGCUAACUACGUGCCAGCAGCCGCGGUCAUACGUAGGGUCCGAGCAUUAUCCGGAGUGACUGGGUGUAAAGAGUUGCGUAGGUGGCAUAAUAAGUAGCUAGGGAAAUCGGGUGGCUCAACCAUUCAGACUGUUAGCUAAACUGUUAAGCUCGAGACCGUUAGGGGUAACUGGAAUUUCUAGUGUAGGAGUGAAAUCCGUAGAUAUUAGGAAGAACACCGAUGGCGUAGGCAGGUUACUGGGACGGUUCUGACACUGAGGCACGAAAGCGUAGGGAGCAAACGGGAUUAGAUACCCGUGUAGUC